This 253-nucleotide ribosomal RNA is filed under the name uncultured bacterium. RNAcentral's name for it is "partial 16S ribosomal RNA". It matches the Rfam family "Bacterial small subunit ribosomal RNA", at positions 524 to 776 of the family's 1533-position model. The record is from RNAcentral.
UACAGAGGUCUCAAGCGUUGUUCGGAUUCAUUGGGCGUAAAGGGUGCGUAGGCGGCGCGGUAAGUCGGGUGUGAAAUCUCGGAGCUUAACUCCGAAACUGCACUCGAUACUGCUCUGCUUGAGGACUGGAGAGGAGACUGGAAUUCACGGUGUAGCAGUGAAAUGCGUAGAUAUCGUGAGGAAGACCAGUGGCGAAGGCGGGUCUCUGGACAGUUCCUGACGCUGAGGCGCGAAGGCCAGGGGAGCAAACGGG